RNAcentral lists this ribosomal RNA (503 nucleotides) under Pseudolycoriella wernermohrigi. RNAcentral's name for it is "partial 16S ribosomal RNA". Lineage: Eukaryota; Metazoa; Arthropoda; Insecta; Diptera; Sciaridae. The record is from RNAcentral.
CUUUUUGAUUUUAAUUUAAAGUUUAACCUGCCCAUUGAAAAUUUUUAAAAGGCUGCGGUAUUUUGACUGUACAAAGGUAGCAUAAUCAUUAGUUUUUUAAUUGAAAACUUGUAUGAAUGGUUGGAUGAGAAAUUAACUUUUUUAAAAAAAUAAUUGAAUUUUACUUUUUAAUUAAAAGGUUAAAAUAAAUUUAAAAGACGAGAAGACCCUAUAGAGUUUUAUAAUUUAUAUUUAAUAUUUAAAAAGAUUAAUUAAAAUUUUAUAAAAGAAAAUAUUUUGUUGGGGUGAUAAUAAAAUUUAAAUAACUUUUAUUUUUUUUUACAUUAAUAUAUGAAUUUAUGAUCCAUUAUUGAUGAUUAGAAAUUUAAAUUACCUUAGGGAUAACAGCGUAAUUUUUUUUAAAGUUCAUAUUAAUAAAAAAUUUUGCGACCUCGAUKUUGGAUUAAGAUUUAAUUUUAGGUGCAGCAGUUUAAAUUUUAAGUCUGUUCGACUUUUAAAUUCUU